AUUGAACGCUGGCGGCAGGCCUAACACAUGCAAGUCGAGCGGAUGAAGGGAGCUUGCUCCUGGAUUCAGCGGCGGACGGGUGAGUAAUGCCUAGGAAUCUGCCUGGUAGUGGGGGAUAACGUCCGGAAACGGGCGCUAAUACCGCAUACGUCCUGAGGGAGAGAGUGGGGGAUCUUCGGACCUCACGCUAUCAGAUGAGCCUAGGUCGGAUUAGCUAGUUGGUGGGGUAAAGGCCUACCAAGGCGACGAUCCGUAACUGGUCUGAGAGGAUGAUCAGUCACACUGGAACUGAGACACGGUCCAGACUCCUACGGGAGGCAGCAGUGGGGAAUAUUGGACAAUGGGCGAAAGCCUGAUCCAGCCAUGCCGCGUGUGUGAAGAAGGUCUUCUGAUUGUAAAGCACUUUAAGUUGGGAGGAAGGGCAGUAAGUUAAUACCUUGCUGUUUUGACGUUACCAACAGAAUAAGCACCGGCUAACUUCGUG
RNAcentral lists this ribosomal RNA (484 nucleotides) under uncultured bacterium. RNAcentral describes it as "partial 16S ribosomal RNA". It matches the Rfam family "Bacterial small subunit ribosomal RNA", at positions 30 to 507 of the family's 1533-position model. The record is from RNAcentral.